This 400-nucleotide ribosomal RNA is filed under the name uncultured bacterium. RNAcentral's name for it is "bacterial SSU rRNA". It matches the Rfam family "Bacterial small subunit ribosomal RNA", at positions 355 to 769 of the family's 1533-position model. The record is from RNAcentral.
UCGAGAAUCUUCCGCAAUGGACGAAAGUCUGACGGAGCGAUGUCGCGUGAUGGAUGAAGUGCCUAGGUACGUAAACAUCUUUUAUAGAGGAGGAAGUCAUUGACGUUACUCUAUGAAUAAGGGGCUCCUAACUCUGUGCCAGCAGGAGCGGUAAUACAGAGGCCCCAAGCGUUAUCCGGAAUUAUUGGGCGUAAAGGGUGUGUAGGCGGCCAUGUUAGUCGUCCGUGAAAUCUCCUGGCUUAACCGGGAAGACGCGGGCGAAACGGCAUGACUCGAGAGUGCGAGAGGUAUAUGGAACUCAUGGUGUAGGGGUGAAAUCCGUUGAUAUCAUGGGGAACACCGAAAGCGAAGGCAAUAUACUGGCGCAUUUCUGACGCUGAGACACGAAAGCGUGGGUUUC